UAAAGCGAAGUUCAGGCAGGUCAUGUUUUGAAACUCCACGAAUUCGAAAACUGUGCGCUGAGAGGAAGAUUCAAGCAUAUUGAUAGCGGAGAGGGUAUACAGCUGGCUUAAGUUAUACAACAUUCUUCUAACCAGCUACUACUGCAAGGGCAGAGCACUUGCCAUGCUCAUUGCCUCCCAACUAACUCGUAUAACGGUGUACUCCUCAUCUUCUUCCUCAUCAAAAUCAUCAUCAUCAGCUGCUGCUUCUUCGUCGCCGUCGUCGUCGUCGUCGUUUUGAUCAUCUUGUGCCUUUUUUUGACUGAUUAAGAAAAGGAAAACGCAGCCAAGCGUCACAAAAUGUGGCUGAUAAAAACCAAAGGCACAUGCACAACAAAAUUUCGUGUGCAGUCAAUGAAAAGUCAGCGAAGUUAUAUAGUAACCACAACUAUUCGCAUCAAUUAUGGACUUGUCUAAAUGUUUUAAAUCACCAUUUUCAACUACAACUCAAGUGCUGAAACCGCGAAUGGAUGAAUUGGUAGUUGGCUGCGCGAAAAUUGAUCCGUACUUACCAUAAAUAUCUGUACUUACCAUAAACAUUUAAUACAUACCUGUAAACAAUGCAUGAAAUAAAGUAUUUUAUUGA
RNAcentral lists this small RNA (625 nucleotides) under Drosophila yakuba. RNAcentral describes it as "GE27286". Lineage: Eukaryota; Metazoa; Arthropoda; Insecta; Diptera; Drosophilidae. The record is from RNAcentral.